Molecule: ribosomal RNA, 528 nt
Filed under: uncultured bacterium
Lineage: Bacteria
Description: partial 16S ribosomal RNA
Rfam family: Bacterial small subunit ribosomal RNA
Source: RNAcentral
UGGGGAAUAUUGCACAAUGGGCGCAAGCCUGAUGCAGCCAUGCCGCGUGUGUGAAGAAGGCCUUCGGGUUGUAAAGCACUUUCAGCGAGGAGGAAGGUGGUGAGCUUAAUACGCUCAUCAAUUGACGUUACUCGCAGAAGAAGCACCGGCUAACUCCGUGCCAGCAGCCGCGGUAAUACGGAGGGUGCAAGCGUUAAUCGGAAUUACUGGGCGUAAAGCGCACGCAGGCGGUUUGUUAAGUCAGAUGUGAAAUCCCCGGGCUCAACCUGGGAACUGCAUUUGAAACUGGCAAGCUAGAGUCUCGUAGAGGGGGGUAGAAUUCCAGGUGUAGCGGUGAAAUGCGUAGAGAUCUGGAGGAAUACCGGUGGCGAAGGCGGCCCCCUGGACGAAGACUGACGCUCAGGUGCGAAAGCGUGGGGCAGCAAACAGGAUUAGAUACCCUGGUAGUCCAGCGCUGUAAACGAUGUCGAUUUUGGAGGUUGUGCCCCUUGAGGCGUGGCUUCCGGAGCUAACGCGUUAAAUCGACCG